Molecule: ribosomal RNA, 435 nt
Filed under: uncultured bacterium
Lineage: Bacteria
Description: bacterial SSU rRNA
Rfam family: Bacterial small subunit ribosomal RNA
Source: RNAcentral
AACGAACGCUGGCGGCAUGCCUAACACAUGCAAGUCGAACGCUCACCGGGCUUUGGUCUGGUGGGAGUGGCGCACGGGUGAGUAGCGCGUGGGAACCUGCCCUGUUGUGGGGGAUAACCGAGGGAAACUUCGGCUAAUACCGCAUAUGCCCGGGGAUCCGGUCUUCGGAUUGGGUCUUUGGGGAAAGAUUUAUCGCAGCAGGAGGGGCCCGCGUCGGAUUAGCUGGUUGGUGGGGUAACGGCCCACCAAGGCGAUGAUCCGUAGCUGGUCUGAGAGGAUGAUCAGCCACACUGGGACUGAGACACGGCCCAGACUCCUACGGGAGGCAGCAGUGGGGAAUAUUGGACAAUGGGCGCAAGCCUGAUCCAGCAAUGCCGCGUGAGUGAUGAAGGCCUAGGGUUGUAAAGCUCUUUCGCCCGCGACGAUGAUGACGGU